Long non-coding RNA from Solanum verrucosum, 294 nucleotides. RefSeq lists it as uncharacterized. The record is from RefSeq and is a predicted model, not a curated record. The transcript has 3 exons. Lineage: Eukaryota; Viridiplantae; Streptophyta; Magnoliopsida; Solanales; Solanaceae.
GGAUUAUCUCAUGUAUUUUUUCUUGAUUGCUUCCUUUUGAAUUUUCAGACUAUUUCAAAACCAGUCAAGGAUGCUUCUGAGCUCCCAAAGUGGAACUACGAUGGAUCAAGUACUGGACAAGAACCAGGAGAAGACAGUGAAGUCAUUUUAUAUCCUCAGGCAAUAUUCAAAGACCCUUUCUGUGGUGGUAACAACAUCUUGGUUAUCUGUGAUGCCUACACACCAACUGGAGAGCCAAUUCCUACAAACAAACACCAUAAAGUUGCUCAAAUUUUUAGCAACCCAAAAGUUGCA